Molecule: ribosomal RNA, 461 nt
Filed under: uncultured bacterium
Lineage: Bacteria
Description: bacterial SSU rRNA
Rfam family: Bacterial small subunit ribosomal RNA
Source: RNAcentral
CAGUAGUCACGAGUUUGAUCCGGCUCAGAACGAACGCUGGCGGCAGGCCUAACACAUGCAAGUCGAGCGGACCCUUCGGGGUUAGCGGCGGACGGGUUAGUAACGCGUGGGAACGUGCCCAAAGGUACGGAAUAGCCUCGGGAAACUGAGAGUAAUACCGUAUGUGCCCCUCGGGGGAAAGAUUUAUCGCCUUUGGAUCGGCCCGCGUUGGAUUAGGUAGUUGGUGGGGUAAUGGCCUACCAAGCCGACGAUCCAUAGCUGGUUUGAGAGGAUGAUCAGCAACACUGGGACUGAGACACGGCCCAGACUCCUACGGGAGGCAGCAGUGGGGAAUCUUAGACAAUGGGGGAAACCCUGAUCUAGCCAUGCCGCGUGGACGAUGAAGGCCUUAGGGUUGUAAAGUCCUUUCAGCUGGGAAGAUAAUGACGGUACCCAGUAAAGAAACCCCGGCUAACUCCGUG